Molecule: ribosomal RNA, 1317 nt
Filed under: uncultured bacterium
Lineage: Bacteria
Description: bacterial SSU rRNA
Rfam family: Bacterial small subunit ribosomal RNA
Source: RNAcentral
AGCGAGCUUGCCUAGAUGAUUUUAGUGCUUGCACUAAAUGAAACUAGAUACAAGCGAGCGGCGGACGGGUGAGUAACACGUGGGUAACCUGCCCAAGAGACUGGGAUAACACCUGGAAACAGAUGCUAAUACCGGAUAACAACACUAGACGCAUGUCUAGAGUUUGAAAGAUGGUUCUGCUAUCACUCUUGGAUGGACCUGCGGUGCAUUAGCUAGUUGGUAAGGUAACGGCUUACCAAGGCAAUGAUGCAUAGCCGAGUUGAGAGACUGAUCGGCCACAUUGGGACUGAGACACGGCCCAAACUCCUACGGGAGGCAGCAGUAGGGAAUCUUCCACAAUGGACGAAAGUCUGAUGGAGCAACGCCGCGUGAGUGAAGAAGGGUUUCGGCUCGUAAAGCUCUGUUGGUAGUGAAGAAAGAUAGAGGUAGUAACUGGCCUUUAUUUGACGGUAAUUACUUAGAAAGUCACGGCUAACUACGUGCCAGCAGCCGCGGUAAUACGUAGGUGGCAAGCGUUGUCCGGAUUUAUUGGGCGUAAAGCGAGUGCAGGCGGUUCAAUAAGUCUGAUGUGAAAGCCUUCGGCUCAACCGGAGAAUUGCAUCAGAAACUGUUGAACUUGAGUGCAGAAGAGGAGAGUGGAACUCCAUGUGUAGCGGUGGAAUGCGUAGAUAUAUGGAAGAACACCAGUGGCGAAGGCGGCUCUCUGGUCUGCAACUGACGCUGAGGCUCGAAAGCAUGGGUAGCGAACAGGAUUAGAUACCCUGGUAGUCCAUGCCGUAAACGAUGAGUGCUAAGUGUUGGGAGGUUUCCGCCUCUCAGUGCUGCAGCUAACGCAUUAAGCACUCCGCCUGGGGAGUACGACCGCAAGGUUGAAACUCAAAGGAAUUGACGGGGGCCCGCACAAGCGGUGGAGCAUGUGGUUUAAUUCGAAGCAACGCGAAGAACCUUACCAGGUCUUGACAUCCAGUGCAAACCUAAGAGAUUAGGUGUUCCCUUCGGGGACGCUGAGACAGGUGGUGCAUGGCUGUCGUCAGCUCGUGUCGUGAGAUGUUGGGUUAAGUCCCGCAACGAGCGCAACCCUUGUCAUUAGUUGCCAUCAUUAAGUUGGGCACUCUAAUGAGACUGCCGGUGACAAACCGGAGGAAGGUGGGGAUGACGUCAAGUCAUCAUGCCCCUUAUGACCUGGGCUACACACGUGCUACAAUGGACGGUACAACGAGAAGCGAACCUGCGAAGGCAAGCGGAUCUCUUAAAGCCGUUCUCAGUUCGGACUGUAGGCUGCAACUCGCCUACCCGAAGCUGGAAUCGCUAGUAAUC